This 243-nucleotide non-coding RNA is filed under the name Candidatus Moranbacteria bacterium GW2011_GWC2_40_12. Lineage: Bacteria; Candidatus Moraniibacteriota. The record is from RNAcentral.
AAAAUUAGUUGACUAUAUUCUGGCGAUUCAAAAAGAAAAUUAUGUCUCGCGAAGAAAGAAAAGCAAAAAAGAGCUAAUGAAAAUUUUAGGAUUGACCCCGUAACGACUUUGGUCCGACGUCACGUCGGACCAGAAUAGCGAGUUAAUAAAAAAUCUAAACCGCUAUAAUAUGUCGGCCCCGCCCAAAUUUCUUCGAAAAUUGCGGCGGGUGAAGAUAUAGUCUGGGCCCGCAGAAAUGCGGGA